Molecule: ribosomal RNA, 406 nt
Filed under: uncultured bacterium
Lineage: Bacteria
Description: partial 16S ribosomal RNA
Rfam family: Bacterial small subunit ribosomal RNA
Source: RNAcentral
AUUGAACGCUGGCGGCAGGCCUAACACAUGCAAGUCGAGCGAGCGGCGGACGGGAGAGUAAUGUCUGGGACACUGCCUGAUGGAGGGGGAUAACUACUGGAAACGGUAGCUAAUACCGCAUACCAUCAGAUGUGCCCAGAUGGGAUUAGCUAGGAGGUGGGGUAAUGGCUCACCUAGGCGACGAUCCAUAGCUGGUCUGAGAGGAUGAACAGCCACACUGGAACUGAGACACGGUCCAGACUCCUACGGGAGGCAGCAGUGGGGAAUAUUGCACAAUGGGCGCAAGCCUGAUGCAGCCAUGCCGCGUGUAUGAAGAAGGCCUUCGGGUUGUAAAGCACUUUCAGCGAGGAGGCGUUACCCGCAGAAGAAGCACCGGCUAACUCCGUGCCAGCAGCCGCGGUAAUUC